RNAcentral lists this ribosomal RNA (459 nucleotides) under uncultured bacterium. RNAcentral describes it as "partial 16S ribosomal RNA". It matches the Rfam family "Bacterial small subunit ribosomal RNA", at positions 338 to 795 of the family's 1533-position model. The record is from RNAcentral.
CCUACGGGUGGCAGCAGUGAGGAAUAUUGGUCAAUGGCCGGAAGGCUGAACCAGCCAAGCCGCGUGAGGGAGGAAGGCGCAGAGCGUCGCAGACCUCUUUUGCCGGGGGACAAAAGGCCGGACUCGUCCGGUCCUGAGGGUACCCGGAGAAAAAGCAUCGGCUAACUCCGUGCCAGCAGCCGCGGUAAUACGGAGGAUGCGAGCGUUAUCCGGAUUCAUUGGGUUUAAAGGGUGCGCAGGCGGGCCUUUAAGCCGGCGGUGAAAUCGCGGGGCUCAACCCCGGCCGGCCGUUGAAACUGGUUUUCUAGAGUUGGAGAGAAGUAUGCGGAAUUCGUGGUGUAGCGGUGAAAUGCAUAGAUAUCACGAAGAACUCCGAUUGCGAAGGCAGCAUACCGGCUCCAUACUGACGCUGAGGCACGAAAGCGUGGGGAUCGAACAGGAUUAGAUACCCCAGUAGUC